This 253-nucleotide ribosomal RNA is filed under the name uncultured bacterium. RNAcentral's name for it is "partial 16S ribosomal RNA". It matches the Rfam family "Bacterial small subunit ribosomal RNA", at positions 524 to 776 of the family's 1533-position model. The record is from RNAcentral.
GACGAACUGCCCAAACGUUGUUCGGAAUCACUGGGCUUAAAGGGCGCGUAGGCGGGCAUGCAAGUCAGGGGUGAAAUCCGGCAGCUCAACUGUCGAAGUGCCUUUGAUACUGCAUGUCUUGAGGGAGGUAGGGGUCCGUGGAACUUCUGGUGGAGCGGUGAAAUGCGUUGAUAUCAGAAGGAACGCCGGUGGCGAAAGCGACGGACUGGAUCUUUUCUGACGCUGAGGCGCGAAAGCUAGGGGAGCAAACGGG